GUGAGUCAUCGAAUCUUUGAACGCAAAUUGCGCUCCUUGGUAUUCCGAGGAGCAUGCCUGUUUGAGUGUCAUGAAAUCAUCCACCUCUACUUUGGGCUUUUGUCCGGGGUUCUGGCUGGGAGUUGGGUGUUUGCCUGCGAGAGCUGGCUCACCUUAAAUGAAUUUCGGUCUGACUAGUGGCUAAUGGCCGGUUUGACUUGGCGUUAUAAGUUAUUUCGCUAAGGACAUCCUUCGGGGUGGCCGAUCAUGGACUCUGGUCUCGCUUCUAACGAGGCAACAUAUUUUGACAUCUGGCCUCAAAUCAGGUAGGACUACCCGCUGAACUUAA
Molecule: ribosomal RNA, 328 nt
Filed under: uncultured fungus
Lineage: Eukaryota; Fungi
Description: eukaryotic LSU rRNA
Rfam family: 5.8S ribosomal RNA (bases 1-71)
Source: RNAcentral